AUUGAACGCUGGCGGCAUGCUUUACACAUGCAAGUCGAACGGACUUAGGUGCUUGCACCUAGGUUAGUGGCGAACGGGUGAGUAAUGCAUCGGAACGUACCGUGUAAUGGGGGAUAACGCAGCGAAAGUUGUGCUAAUACCGCAUACGAUCUACGGAUGAAAGCAGGGGAUCGCAAGACCUUGCGUUAUACGAGCGGCCGAUGUCGGAUUAGCUAGUUGGUAGGGUAAAGGCCUACCAAGGCAACGAUCCGUAGCGGGUCUGAGAGGAUGAUCCGCCACACUGGGACUGAGACACGGCCCAGACUCCUACGGGAGGCAGCAGUGGGGAAUUUUGGACAAUGGGCGCAAGCCUGAUCCAGCCAUGCCGCGUGAGUGAAGAAGGCCUCGG
This 388-nucleotide ribosomal RNA is filed under the name uncultured bacterium. RNAcentral's name for it is "bacterial SSU rRNA". It matches the Rfam family "Bacterial small subunit ribosomal RNA", at positions 30 to 420 of the family's 1533-position model. The record is from RNAcentral.